AACGCACAUUGCGCCCUCCGGUAUUCCGGGGGGCAUGCCUGUUCGAGCGUCAUUACAACCCUCAAGCUUUGCUUGGUAUUGGGUGCUGCCGUUUUGGUACACCUUAAAAUCAGUGGCGGUGCCACCUGGCUUCUAGCGUAGUAAUACUCCUCGCUAUGGAGAUGGGCGUGUACUUGCCAUAACCCCCAAUUUUUUAAGGUUGACCUCGGAUCAGGUAGGGAUACCCGCUGAACUUAA
RNAcentral lists this unclassified non-coding RNA (237 nucleotides) under uncultured fungus. RNAcentral's name for it is "sequence contains ITS2". The stretch from base 1 to 52 matches the Rfam family "5.8S ribosomal RNA", at positions 103 to 154 of the family's 154-position model. The record is from RNAcentral. Lineage: Eukaryota; Fungi.